GGGAGCUUUUGAAUGCUGCGAAGAGAGAAGACGCCGGUUUUCAUCGAAGUUUUUGUUAAACCCUGGAAAUCAACGCCACAAUUAAUGCCCCUCCCCAGAAAGAACCGCACCGGCAGCAACCCCGUCAGUUCAGUCUUCAGCACACGACGCAACAAAGUCACCCAACCUACCUUAGACCUUCAGCACCGCAGGCAAUAUCGACACCUCGGACUCAUGAUGUGGUCAAUUCCACGCUGGUGUAACAAGCCAUUAAGCCUCAGGCAUGUGCACUGGCUCUUCAUGAGCCCAGUCUCUUAAACAUCUCACCCAUAGAUUGUGUCAGCUGAUGGUAUUGUACAAAUUGCAACAUGAUCAGAGAAAUAGUAGUGGCAAGUUACACUGAGUGAGAGGAGGUAGUGUGAAAUCACUGGUGCCAAGGUGGGCUGAUGUGGACUACCAUACCUCCUAACGUGGACAAGUAAUACACUACUUACCCGAAAUGAACCAUGUUGUAUUUGUUCUGUUACACCCAUACAUAAUUCAUUAGUUCCAUUGGAAGAAAUUCAUUGGAAUUCCAUGGAACAUCCCUCCCAUGAAAUGCGUAUAUACUGUCAUUCUUGAAGGUUGCAGUGUGGUACCACUAGCAACCCGACUUGCAUGUGCAAUUGUUGCAUAGCUCAGGGUUUCAGAGCUAAUUAUGGGGUACUUCUGUCCUGGUAGCACUGACUGGUUUACGUGCCUCAUGCGUGUGCCGUGUGUGCAGGGUAGCUGCUUUUGCUUCCCAGACAAACCUAUGCAAGUAUGAAUAAUGCUUUAAGCUUCACUUGUUGUUACUGUACUACCGCCUAUUGUCCAAAAGACUAGUCCAUGACCCAAAGUGCUAAAAGCACAGCAACUAAAGAACUACAUCACUGCAACUGGAGGUCUGUGUUGAUGUGGGUGCUCUUGCAGACCAUUUCUUGAUAGCGCAACACCAGUGUGAACAUUUUGUCAAGGGGAAGAUUGCAGAAGUGCAAUAACAAGUGAAUUUCAGUACACACAAAUUGAAUAAAUAUUGUCUUGCAUUAGGAGUAUAUAAUCAGCUGUCCGGUGUAUCUGUAGGUGAGGUGUUUAUACAAAGUAAAUAUUGACUGUUCUAACGUGUGGUACAGUAAAAAGAGUUUCACUUAGUGAUCCGUGGAGUGCUAUAUUUUCCCUCCACUCUUCCUUGAGAAUAUACUUACAAUAUGGUAUGGAUCACCUUGCAAUGGUAUCGUUUGAUUGUACCACUCAUUGCAGUCAAUAUUAGCAUACAUUGUACUUAAAAGGCAGUGGUGUAGUCAAGUACAUUUCCAUGAGUACGAAAUGUACUGGAGUAUGAGUAUGAGUACUGCAACACUGCUAGAAGGCAUAUGAAGUGUGACUCAUGAGAAUGUGGAGGUGCACAUUGAUCUAUGCAAGACAAAGCUUUGCUUACUGCAUUUAUUCUAGCUUUAUAUGAACAUCUUCCAUAUGCCCAGUGACAUCUGAAACAUUUUUGUCAUUGACCUGACCAAUCACAUUGCUUUAUGACUAUAACAAUGAACAAGUAAGGGCGUUGUUUUCUUCUCUUGCUUUUGCAAAGUUUAAGGAAAACAAGACAAGUCCCUGCAUGCUUGAUUGAUGCGGCAUGAUUGUCAACAUCUGACAUGGUUUCUGCACAUCCACGUACUCUGGUUCAUAUUUAACUUAUGUAACUUCUUGGAAGCUUCCAUCCUAUUGUUCAUUUGUGUCUCGGUAAACAGUCAAAAUGUGGUAUUAAGCGCAUUCAGUUUUGCUGUUGAACCACUGUUAUUAACACAUUGAACCCAACUUUUUCAACAACUCAGAAUAUAGUAUAGGUAGAUUUUUCUUUAGGACAUUAAUAUCCAUGAUAUAUAUACGUAUAUAUUUUUAAGAAGGGGCUAAAGUCCAGCACUUUUUGAGUGAGAAAGCUAGAAUUGUUUUGCUUGUAUCCUAUUGUGUAUAGCUAUCCAGAGAUAAGUUGUGUCUAGUUUCUGUGCUGUUAUAGUUUGGUUUUCGUAUAUGGCACAUGAUGUAGGGUUUGAUAUUUACUUUGCUAGCUUGUGAUUUGCAACUUUGCCACAAACAUUUAAGAUAAAUAUAAAGAUCAUAAAAUGAUCACUUUUUUGUUAUUAAUUUCAUUAAUCAGAAAUACAGGUGGAAUGUAGGUUAGCUAUACACAUCAAUCAUAUUGACAAAUAUGUUGGUUUGUAUAAAAAAAAAAGGCCUCCUGUUUAAACGAUAUACUUAAAGUCUUUAUUAGUUUAAUUGUGUUGGACAAUAUAUUUCAAAUGAUGUUUAUUAUAUAAAAAAGUGAUCACAUAGGGAAAUGGUUUCAGUAAAUUAUGUUUAAAAGAAAUCAUUUCUGCUAUGCAAAAUGUAAAAAAAAGGUUUAAAUAUUGUAUGGUUUUACUUGUUUAUGUAUAUUCAUUUACUUUUACAAAAUUGUGCAAUUUAUGAAUUAAUAACUGAGCUUUCAGACAUUUGAGAUGGAAAAAGUCAACAUUGAUACUAAAGGACCUAAGACAAGAAAUGGGAAAAUGGGGGGGGGGGGGGCGGAGCGUUUGUUGAAUUCUUUAUUUCAGUUAUGCUGGUAGCUUUAUUUAUUUGACAUGGUCCUACAGAAACUGCAAUUGUUGCAAUAAAGUAGUCCAAGUUAUUCUUUUGCUAACUGCGAAAACUGUAAACUAAUGAAUGUACACAUGUUUUUGUGAGAAUAGAUUUGGUUUAUUGUAACAAUGUAUGGUUAUAUUUUGUACAAAUUAUCCUACUUCCCAUGCAUGGAUGCUGUGAUUAUGUUCAGUAAUUUAGUUGUUUUAAGUCUAUUUUCUUCGGUCAAGAUAGAGGUUCUGAGUACAAACAAUGUGCUUUUUAAAAAUGAACGAGUGAUUGUUUGAAUUAUUGUCUGGUACAAUUUAUGUUGCACAUUGUGACUUGCUUUUCACAGAGUGCAUGUACAUGUAAUAUAUGAAUUCUGUAACGUAUGUACUACUAGUAUGUUAUGUCCAGUGGCCCUAAGAGUGAAAUAACAUUAUGUGAGACUUGCA
Molecule: long non-coding RNA, 3047 nt
Filed under: Patiria miniata (bat star)
Lineage: Eukaryota; Metazoa; Echinodermata; Asteroidea; Valvatida; Asterinidae
Description: uncharacterized LOC119721857
Source: RNAcentral